GGUUGCGGGUGGACAGUCGCGAAUUAAGGAAACUUAAUUUGAGGAAAGUCCGGACACUCAUUGUUAUUCGCAAGAGUAGCAUAACAAUAACGGGUAACACCCGUCGCCCGCCCUGGGCGGAUAGAGGUGCGAACAGAGACGUCGCAAUCGAAAGAACGCGACACCCUGGGAAUUCUUAGGGUGAGCUUCUGUGGUAACACAGAAGGUGCAACGGCCAAAUCCUUAUUGGGUGCAAGGUCGUGCCCAGCACCACUUUUAUGCUUAAAGAAAGCAUAAAAGUGGUGCUGGGAGUGCCGCUACGAUUCCUUCAAGUAAUUGAGGAACUCAGAUAAAUGGCUGUCGGUCCGAUGUUACAUCGGACUACAGAAUCCGGCUUAUAACCCACAACCCUAA
Molecule: RNase P RNA, 393 nt
Filed under: Patescibacteria group bacterium
Lineage: Bacteria
Description: RNase P RNA component class A
Rfam family: Bacterial RNase P class A
About the family: Ribonuclease P (RNase P) is a ubiquitous endoribonuclease, found in archaea, bacteria and eukarya as well as chloroplasts and mitochondria. Its best characterised activity is the generation of mature 5'-ends of tRNAs by cleaving the 5'-leader elements of precursor-tRNAs. Cellular RNase Ps are ribonucleoproteins.
Source: RNAcentral